CCUACGGGAGGCUGCAGUGGGGAAUAUUGGACAAUGGGGGCAACCCUGAUCCAGCCAUGCCGCGUGUGUGAAGAAGGCCCUCGGGUUGUAAAGCACUUUCAGUGAGGAAGAACGCCUGGUGGUUAAUACCCAUCAGGAAAGACAUCACUCACAGAAGAAGCACCGGCUAACUCCGUGCCAGCAGCCGCGGUAAUACGGAGGGUGCGAGCGUUAAUCGGAAUUACUGGGCGUAAAGCGCGCGUAGGUGGCUUGAUAAGCCGGUUGUGAAAGCCCCGGGCUCAACCUGGGAACGGCAUCCGGAACUGUCAAGCUAGAGUGCAGGAGAGGAAGGUAGAAUUCCCGGUGUAGCGGUGAAAUGCGUAGAGAUCGGGAGGAAUACCAGUGGCGAAGGCGGCCUUCUGGACUGAAACUGACACUGAGGUGCGAAAGCGUGGGUAGCAAACAGGAUUAGAUACCCCUGUAGUC
This 465-nucleotide ribosomal RNA is filed under the name Vreelandella stevensii. RNAcentral describes it as "partial 16S ribosomal RNA". It matches the Rfam family "Bacterial small subunit ribosomal RNA", at positions 338 to 795 of the family's 1533-position model. Lineage: Bacteria; Pseudomonadati; Pseudomonadota; Gammaproteobacteria; Oceanospirillales; Halomonadaceae. The record is from RNAcentral.